Sarcophilus harrisii (Tasmanian devil) is the source of this 451-nucleotide long non-coding RNA. RefSeq lists it as uncharacterized. The record is from RefSeq and is a predicted model, not a curated record. The transcript is spliced from 3 exons. NCBI's taxonomy places the organism in Eukaryota, Metazoa, Chordata, Mammalia, Dasyuromorphia, Dasyuridae.
CCCCUCUGCCUUCCAUUUCUAUCCCUCCUCCUCCUCCCUCUCUCCACCCCUGUGCCAUGUGUAACAUUUAGCAAUCUGUCAAGACUCCAAGUGCGUUUACAUAUGAAGGGCCUACUCUCGCCCAACAUUGGAAACCCGGUGAAUGGACAUUGCUGCCAUCACUUCUCCGCAGAAGGGUCCUAGCCGAACUAGGAUGGAUUUGCCCCCAUUUGCAUAGCAGAUCAGAGAUAUUGGAAAGUUUUUUAAUUUCCUCCUGUCACUUGCACAUUAAGAGCCAUGUUCACAUUAGCAAACAGCAUCAGCCAAUAGCUGAGGAGCUGAAAGGGAAAGGUGGAGGUGAACUCCUAGGUGACAAUUCCCUGUGGACAAUGAGGACCCUGAGAGCUGUGACCACAAUCCUUUUCACUACUACACCUGUUACCACUGAUUGUUUACCAUGAUGGAAACUGGA